This 253-nucleotide ribosomal RNA is filed under the name uncultured bacterium. RNAcentral's name for it is "partial 16S ribosomal RNA". It matches the Rfam family "Bacterial small subunit ribosomal RNA", at positions 524 to 776 of the family's 1533-position model. The record is from RNAcentral.
UACGAAGGGGGCUAGCGUUGCUCGGAAUCACUGGGCGUAAAGGGUGCGUAGGCGGGUUUUUAAGUCAGGGGUGAAAUCUUGGAGCUCAACUCCAGAACUGCCUUUGAUACUGAAGAUCUUGAGUCCGGGAGAGGUGAGUGGAACUGCGAGUGUAGAGGUGAAAUUCGUAGAUAUUCGCAAGAACACCAGUGGCGAAGGCGGCUCACUGGCCCGAUACUGACGCUGAGGCACGAAAGCGUGGGGAGCAAACAGG